RNAcentral lists this ribosomal RNA (468 nucleotides) under uncultured bacterium. Its description in RNAcentral is "partial 16S ribosomal RNA". It matches the Rfam family "Bacterial small subunit ribosomal RNA", at positions 28 to 507 of the family's 1533-position model. The record is from RNAcentral.
GACGAACGCUGGCGGCGUGCUUAACACAUGCAAGUCGAACGGAAAGGCCCUGCUUUUGUGGGGUGCUCGAGUGGCGAACGGGUGAGUAACACGUGAGUAACCUGCCCUUGACUUUGGGAUAACUUCAGGAAACUUGGGCUAAUACCGGAUAGGAGCUCCUGCUGCAUGGUGGGGGUUGGAAAGUUUCGGCGGUUGGGGAUGGACUCGCGGCUUAUCAGCUUGUUGGUGGGGUAGUGGCUUACCAAGGCUUUGACGGGUAGCCGGCCUGAGAGGGUGACCGGCCACAUUGGGACUGAGAUACGGCCCAGACUCCUACGGGAGGCAGCAGUGGGGAAUAUUGCACAAUGGGCGGAAGCCUGAUGCAGCAAAGCCGCGUGCGGGAUGACGGCCUUCGGGUUGUAAACCGCAUUCGCCUGUGACGAAGCGUGAGUGACGGUAAUGGAUAAAGAAGCACCGGCUAACUACGUG